AACGUAGGAGACAAACGUUAUCCGGAGUUACUGGGCGUAAAGGGCGUGUAGGUGGUUGUGUAAGUCUGGCGUGAAAUUUUUCGGCUUAACCGGGAAAGGUCGUCGGAUACUGCAAAACUAGAGGACGGUAGAGGCGUGUGGAAUUCCGGGUGUAGCGGUGGAAUGCGUAGAGAUCCGGAAGAACACCGGUGGCGAAGGCGGCCUGCUGGGCAGUGGCUGACGCUGAGGCGCGACAGCGUGGGGAGCAAACAGG
RNAcentral lists this ribosomal RNA (253 nucleotides) under uncultured bacterium. RNAcentral describes it as "partial 16S ribosomal RNA". It matches the Rfam family "Bacterial small subunit ribosomal RNA", at positions 524 to 776 of the family's 1533-position model. The record is from RNAcentral.